This 465-nucleotide ribosomal RNA is filed under the name Vreelandella stevensii. RNAcentral describes it as "partial 16S ribosomal RNA". It matches the Rfam family "Bacterial small subunit ribosomal RNA", at positions 338 to 795 of the family's 1533-position model. The record is from RNAcentral. Lineage: Bacteria; Pseudomonadati; Pseudomonadota; Gammaproteobacteria; Oceanospirillales; Halomonadaceae.
CCUACGGGAGGCAGCAGUGGGGAAUAUUGGACAAUGGGGGGAACCCUGAUCCAGCCAUGCCGCGUGUGUGAAGAAGGCCCUCGGGUUGUAAAGCACUUUCAGUGAGGAAGAACGCCUGGUGGUUAAUACCCAUCAGGAAAGACAUCACUCACAGAAGAAGCACCGGCUAACUCCGUGCCAGCAGCCGCGGUAAUACGGAGGGGUGCGAGCGUUAAUCGGAAUUACUGGGCGUAAAGCGCGCGUAGGUGGCUUGAUAAGCCGGUUGUGAAAGCCCCGGGCUCAACCUGGGAACGGCAUCCGGAACUGUCAAGCUAGAGUGCAGGAGAGGAAGGUAGAAUUCCCGGUGUAGCGGUGAAAUGCGUAGAGAUCGGGAGGAAUACCAGUGGCGAAGGCGGCCUUCUGGACUGACACUGACACUGAGGUGCGAAGCGUGGGUAGCAAACAGGAUUAGAUACCCUUGUAGUC